RNAcentral lists this long non-coding RNA (1198 nucleotides) under Homo sapiens (human). RNAcentral's name for it is "HSALNT0132151". Lineage: Eukaryota; Metazoa; Chordata; Mammalia; Primates; Hominidae. The record is from RNAcentral.
CAGGGAAUAGGCCAGCGCCGGCUGCGCCCAGCCUGCUCCUCUCCCCUGACGGUCACAGCCGCCCCGACCUCAUCGCUCUGUCCACGGCCAGAAAAAGAAUUCAGGACACGGACAGAAGGGGCCAGAGGAAGAAGCGAUGAGACCCGCCCUAUGUCCAGGACACAACUUCCCUGCCCUUCUCGCCUGCGACGGCUCCUCCUCCACCUCCUGACCUACAGCCCAGCCCCGCGCCUGCCUCCAGGAACGGGAACCCACGACCCAGCCUCGCACCUGCCUCCAGGGACGCACGACCCAGCCCCUCACCUGCCUCCAGGGACCGGGACCCACGACCCAGCCCCGCGCCUGCCUCCAGGGAGCGGCACCCCUACCCUGUGCGUCGUCCUCGGAUUGAGGGGCCUUGCUCCGUUGCGGUGCAGGAAACCAUGGCGAUGUGCGAGAGGGUCAGGGUCGUGCUGGCACAGGUAGGAGGAGAGAGUUAUGACAGGAAGGAGCUUGAGCAAAACCAGGAAGGUUGGAAAAGUCAGGGAGCCAGCGGUGAACACUGAAUUCCGUAGGAGGGCAAGAACUCAGGAGAAGGUCGCCGUGGCCGGUUCAGGUGAGUUUGUGUGACCCGCUCAGCACUUCGGAGUUUGUUCUGCACCACACCGUGGGAGGUGAUGGAUAUCGGAAUGGGUUCGUUUCCAGGACUCGUCAGCUAGCCACGUGCCUGAGAGCGAGGACCCUCAGUAAGCGACAUCCAGGAAAGGAGGCUGGGCCUGCAAGAAUCGCCGGACUCAGGGGCCUUGGAUGUGUGUUCCCUGGACUGAAUGAACGGGGCUGUGCACCUCUCUGUCUGCAGCCGUACUCUCUACCCUGUCUCAACCCCUGCUGGAAAAGAAAAUAAUGGAAACACGAUUUUUUUCUGGAGUUAUUUUUAUUUAGAAUUGUGAUUCUAGAAGAAUGAAUUCAUCCUUUUAGAAACUGUUGUAAGAAGCACGUGACAUGAAAUCGACCCUCUUAAGCCAUGGUUGAGCGCGCACUCCCCAUCUUACGACAGGCACCCUUGUGCAGCGGUCUCUAGAACUCACUCACUUUGCAUAGCUCAGGGUCUGUGCUGCUUCAGCACCAUCUCCUCGCAUUCCUCUCCCCGAGCUCCUGCUAACCGCAGUCUAGUCUCGGUACUUGAGAGUUGGACUCCCUUAGGUUUCACAUCAGGACG